Passer domesticus (house sparrow) is the source of this 940-nucleotide long non-coding RNA. RefSeq lists it as uncharacterized. NCBI's taxonomy places the organism in Eukaryota, Metazoa, Chordata, Aves, Passeriformes, Passeridae. The record is from RefSeq and is a predicted model, not a curated record. The transcript has 2 exons.
GGUAACGGGCCGGUCGUAAAUCAGCACCGGGCGCGGAGGAGCAGCACAUCCUGAGUCACAGCCCCAUCGCUGCAAGAUGGGCGUUUGUGAGGUUUAUUACAGCUUAAAGUUGGCGCUUUCAAAAGCGCUAAUGAAAAUGCCCUGCGAAUCCCAAACCGGAAAAUGUCAAGAUGCACAUCCACAGGGCGAUGCACCAGGCUCGGGACAGAGCCGGGGCUUGCUCUUAAGAGAUCGCUGUAAUUACUGUCAGUAAUUGUGUUUUAUCUUCUCUUCAAACGGUGCCGGUGAAAGCAUCUUUCAGGAGACUCGUGGCGCGUUAAGAGUUAUUUUUCUGCUGCCACAGUUGUCUCGCAGCUCGUCGGAGGUUACGAGUCCCCAGGAGACGAUUUACGGAGCAUCCCCGAGAGGAAAGUUUUCCACCAGUCUUCUUUUAGGAGAAACUGGAGGAUUUGGCCAGCAAGCAACACCCCUCACCCCAUACACUCCAAAACUGGCGUCCUGCACGUUUAAGAUUUCCAUAUUUUUACUUGCAUAUACUGCUUUUUUAGCUUACAAUGGAUACGCUGGAACCACUUGACUGCCUGGCCGUGGCAUUGUAGGAGAACAGCAAUAAAGAAUUAAUUGUACAAACAUUUAUCAUCCCCAGAUCAAACUCUCCUUGUGAGGCUGGGGCUUAACUUGUGGAGAAGAAAAGGGGGAGGAAGGGUGGUAAUGGCGGAGAGGGCGUUUGUGGGUUUUUUGUGUGUUUCCUUUUAUUCCAGACGACUGUAUAAUGAAAAUCCUUUUAGCCUUGAAGAACUACUAAGUAUUAAGCACAGCUUAAAACGGGGAGUAGCUUUCGAGACAGUUUGGUCCUCCUGUCAUUCCUUUUAGGAAAAGGUCGUACCCCUUCCCUUAUUUUCCCGCUAGUAAAAGCUUCCCUUUUCAAAGAAGUUUUUAA